UACGUAGGGUGCAAGCGUUGUCCGGAAUUAUUGGGCGUAAAGAGCUCGUAGGCGGUUUGUCGCGUCUGCUGUGAAAACUCGGGGCUCAACUCCGAGCUUGCAGUGGGUACGGGCAGACUAGAGUGCGGUAGGGGAGACUGGAAUUCCUGGUGUAGCGGUGGAAUGCGCAGAUAUCAGGAGGAACACCGGUGGCGAAGGCGGGACUCUGGGCCGAUACUGACGCUGAGGAGCGAAAGCGUGGGGAGCAAACAGG
Molecule: ribosomal RNA, 253 nt
Filed under: uncultured bacterium
Lineage: Bacteria
Description: partial 16S ribosomal RNA
Rfam family: Bacterial small subunit ribosomal RNA
Source: RNAcentral